Paramormyrops kingsleyae is the source of this 782-nucleotide long non-coding RNA. RefSeq lists it as uncharacterized. The record is from RefSeq and is a predicted model, not a curated record. Lineage: Eukaryota; Metazoa; Chordata; Actinopteri; Osteoglossiformes; Mormyridae.
UAUCAUAACUUAACAAACAAGCCCCUGCCUUAAAAUAGCAAUAUUAAAAUGUAAUUUGCAUUCUGAAAUACUUCCAAAAUCACAAGCAGGGUUGAAAUGCCGCCCGAACAUUCCUUUAGAAAGCUAUAAAAAGGACUGUCAAAUGUUUUUUCUUAUUGUGUUAUUUCUGGGCUGAAGUAUUUAACGCGACCGAUAUUAAGGAUUUUAUGUUUACAGAUAAAAGGGAAUUUUCUUGUUAAAUCCAUGUUUUGUGAACUGUCAGGAAACGCGUUUUACUGGCGAAACCUGACAAGGAUGCGUCGCAACUCGCCGCCGGAGGUCUGCCGAGGCAGGGUCGGAGCAGAGCGCCGGACCUUCUGCGAAACAACUGGGCUUUGAAAGUAGCCAUCGGCACGGCGGACGGUGACGGCUGAGGGAGCCGACACAAAGAGAGAGCAGAGUCCCGCUGACGGGGGCGUGUUGAGACGCAGCGGUGACAGCCAGCUCUGUUCACCACCAGAAACGCACACGGGUGCCACAAGAACCGCAGCAGCGCACAACGCAGCCCUGUCGUAUGGCCCAGAUUUGCAGGGAGGGACACAUUUGAUCCAGCACGAUACAUGGGUGAGACUCAGCCCUGGCACGUGACAAAUAAACCAUCAGAGACCCCGCCCCCUUCACAGCUGAAAAUGAUGACUUACAGCUCACACAAAUAAUUCCAUUCAUUCUUUAAAUCCAAGGUCAGUUUUAAAAGGACUUUUUGAAAUGAUUAUUUUUACAUAUAUCAGUAAAAAUCUACGGAA